CAAUAGCGUAUAUUAAAGUUGUUGCAGUUAAAAAGCUCGUAGUUGGAUUUCGGGGCAGCCUGGCUGGUCCGCCGCAAGGCGAGUACUGGUCAGCCGCCCUUCCUCUCGAAAGCCCCGACUGCUCUUCGUUGCAGUGGUCGGGUAGUUCGGGACGUUUACUUUGAAAAAAUUAGAGUGUUCAAGGCAGGCCUACGCCUGAAUACAUUAGCAUGGAAUAAUGGAGGAGGACCUCGGUCCUAUUUUGUUGGUUUCCAGGGCCGAAGUAAUGAUUAAGAGGGACAGUUGGGGGCAUUCGUAUUUAAUUGUCAGAGGUGAAAUUCUCGGAUUUAUGAAAGACGAACAACUGCGAAAGCAUUUGCCAAGGAUGUUUUCAUUAA
Molecule: ribosomal RNA, 377 nt
Filed under: uncultured eukaryote
Lineage: Eukaryota
Description: partial 18S ribosomal RNA
Rfam family: Eukaryotic small subunit ribosomal RNA
Source: RNAcentral